AUUGAAUUGGCAGAUAAAGUGCUUUAAAUUUAGAAUUUAAAAAUGUAAUUUUUACAUUUAAUA
This 63-nucleotide transfer RNA is filed under the name Cylindratus longicephalus. RNAcentral describes it as "tRNA-Leu". The record is from RNAcentral. Lineage: Eukaryota; Metazoa; Arthropoda; Insecta; Hemiptera; Caliscelidae.